RNAcentral lists this ribosomal RNA (480 nucleotides) under uncultured bacterium. Its description in RNAcentral is "partial 16S ribosomal RNA". It matches the Rfam family "Bacterial small subunit ribosomal RNA", at positions 28 to 523 of the family's 1533-position model. The record is from RNAcentral.
GACGAACGCUGGCGGCGUGCUUAACACAUGCAAGUCGAGCGGUAAGGCUCCUUCGGGAGUACACGAGCGGCGAACGGGUGAGUAACACGUGAGCAAUCUGCCCUUCUCAUCGGAAUAACCAUUGGAAACGAUGGCUAAUGCCGAAUACGACUUCCUUUCGCAUGUCAGGAAGUGGAAAGCUCCGGCGGAGAAGGAUGAGCUCGCGGCCUAUCAGCUUGUCGGUGAGGUAAUGGCUCACCAAGGCGACGACGGGUAGCCGGCCUGAGAGGGUGACCGGCCACAGUGGGACUGGGACACGGCCCAGACUCCUACGGGAGGAAGCAGUGGGGAAUAUUGGACAAUGGGCGAAAGCCUGAUCCAGCAACGCCGCGUGAGGGAUGACGGCCUUCGGGUUGUAAACCUCUUUCAGCAGGGACGAAGCGAAAGUGACGGUACCUGCAGAAGAAGGACCGGCCAACUACGUGCCAGCAGCCGCCGUAA